Coffea arabica (coffee) is the source of this 1581-nucleotide non-coding RNA. Lineage: Eukaryota; Viridiplantae; Streptophyta; Magnoliopsida; Gentianales; Rubiaceae. The record is from RefSeq and is a predicted model, not a curated record.
AUCCAUGUGGGUUUGGUAAGAAUUGACUACUCCAUGCUUCAGAAUUCUGAACCGUCCUUUCCUCUCCUCUCAGUCCAUGGUCCCUCGCUCUUCAGCAUCACCGAGACGCCCCUGAUCUUUUCCUUCUUCAUGAUCAUCAUCUCACUCUUCAUUCUUCCAUCUUUUUUUUUUCAACAUCAUCUUCAUCUUCUUAUCUUCUAUCUGUCUUGGUGAGAAGAAAAAAAUAAUUUGCUCCGAGCUUCUUUCUUCCUCUGCCAAAAAUAAUCUAGCCAUUUAAUUUUUUCCCUUUUUUUGAGCAAGAUGAGGAGUUUAGUUGUAGCUUUUUGAGCAAACUAAUGUUGUUUAUUCUUUUUUACAUUGCAAGAUAAAAGACCUUCAGAUGUUUCUGCAUCUGCUUGAUCGUCUUCCUCUCCUCUUCUUCUCUCUUAUUAUUAUUUUUUUUGGUCAAAAACCUCUUCUUCCUUUCACCAUUUUUCUAUCUAUGCAUGUGAUAAGCAAGUGAUAGAGACAAAUCUGAUAUCCUUUUAGCUAUUGAAUCUGAACAUUUUGAGAUUUUUCUUUCAUUAAAUUUUCUGUUCAUGUUGUUUUCUCCUUUUACUUAUCUGAUCUGAACUUGACCUUUUUUUUUUGUGAUUGCAGGUGGGAAAAGUUUUUAGAUUUCAUGUUUUUAUUUUGGUAAAUUAAGUUUUGGUUGUAAUUUUCCAGGUUUUCGGUAUUUGAAUCCUUAACAAGAAAAUAUUUGGUUUUUUUUUUCAGGUUUUCGGUAUUUGAAUCCUUAACAAGAAAAUAUUUGGUGCCUUCUUAGUUUUUGGGGUUUCUUUGACAAACAGCCAAUAGCACUGUUAUUACAGGGAUGGAUGGUAAUUUUUUUGGAAAAGGGUGUAACUUUCUGGCUGGAGUAUUAUAGCAAAUGAAAGCUAUAAAUAGACUAAUUUAUUUUAUUUCCAAUUGGGCUAUGAUGAUAUAAUUUUGGUUUCUUUAGAUGUAUUUCAGGUUUUAAAUUGAUUGCCAUAUCUUGGCGAGGCAACCCUGAUGGCAUUUGGCUUUCAUUCUCCCCUUGAAAUGCAAUUGGGUCUGCAGCCAUGCUUGAUUGAGCUGCACGACUAUGAAGCUUAAACAAUUAGUGAUGGCAAUUUUCUAGAAGCACUGAAAUUAAUGAACUUUACUCGAGAUGGGUUCAAAGUGAACUACAUGAGGAUUUGAAUGAUGUUUAGAUGGUGGAAACUUGGAAGCUAAUGAAGUUUUGUCAUGAAUGCUGGAUACUUUCCCUUCUCUCUACUAUCUUUAGCAAAUAGUCAUUAUUUACUUCCAGAGUCACUUACUAUAGUAUAGAUAUCAAAUUUUGUGAUAGUUCUUUUUAAUUUUUCAGCACUAUUGCAUAGUUCCAACAGAAUUGGCUGACUGCUCGAGACGCUGAUCAAGUAAAGACUAGAGGCAUUUCUCUAGAUAUAGCUGCAAGAGAGCACUUUUCGAUGAAUGUAUCUUAAAUUGUGACUUAUUUCUUUUUCACAAUUAAUGACAUGCAUAGUGCAUUGGGAGAGCCUACCUCAAUUAUAUGUGUUAUUAUACUCUUCAACUUUA